CCUACGGGAGGCAGCAGUGAGGAAUAUUGGUCAAUGGGCGAGAGCCUGAACCAGCCAAGUCGCGUGUAGGAUGAAGGAUCUAUGGUUUGUAAACUUCUUUUAUAUGGGAAUAAAGUGAGGAACGUGUUACUUUUCGUAUGUACCAUAUGAAUAAGCAUCGGCUAAGUCCGUGCCAGCCGCCGCGGUAAUACGGAGGGUGCGAGCGUUACACGGAUUGAUUGGGUUUAAAGGGUACGUAGGUGGUUAAUUAAGUCAGCGGUGAAAGUUUGUGGCUCAACCAUAAAAUUGCCGUUGAAACUGGUUGGCUUGAGUAUAUUUGAGGUAGGCAGAAUGCGUGGUGUAGCGGUGAAAUGCGUAGAUAUCACGCGGAACUCCGAUGGCGAAGGCAGCUUACUAAACUAUAACUGACGCUGAGGCGCGAAAGCGUGGGGAUCAAACAGGAUUAGAUACCCGAGUAGUC
This 460-nucleotide ribosomal RNA is filed under the name uncultured bacterium. RNAcentral describes it as "partial 16S ribosomal RNA". It matches the Rfam family "Bacterial small subunit ribosomal RNA", at positions 338 to 795 of the family's 1533-position model. The record is from RNAcentral.